GGUCCCAGUGAUGCUCAUAUAAACCAUGCUAAUGCUGUAAUUAUUUGAUGAUUAUCUGACGACUAUGUUCUUUUCUGAGGCAACU
This is a small nucleolar RNA of Phoenix dactylifera (date palm), 85 nucleotides long. RefSeq annotates it as small nucleolar RNA snoR53Y. The record is from RefSeq and is a predicted model, not a curated record. NCBI's taxonomy places the organism in Eukaryota, Viridiplantae, Streptophyta, Magnoliopsida, Arecales, Arecaceae.